RNAcentral lists this transfer RNA (76 nucleotides) under Candidatus Omnitrophota bacterium. RNAcentral's name for it is "tRNA-Met". It matches the Rfam family "tRNA". From Rfam's summary of the family: Transfer RNA (tRNA) molecules are approximately 80 nucleotides in length. Their secondary structure includes four short double-helical elements and three loops (D, anti-codon, and T loops). Further hydrogen bonds mediate the characteristic L-shaped molecular structure. tRNAs have two regions of fundamental functional importance: the anti-codon, which is responsible for specific mRNA codon recognition, and the 3' end, to which the tRNAs corresponding amino acid is attached (by aminoacyl-tRNA synthetases). tRNAs cope with the degeneracy of the genetic code in two manners: having more than one tRNA (with a specific anti-codon) for a particular amino acid; and 'wobble' base-pairing, i.e. permitting non-standard base-pairing at the 3rd anti-codon position. Lineage: Bacteria; Pseudomonadati; Candidatus Omnitrophota. The record is from RNAcentral.
GGCGGUGUAGCUCAGAGGUCAGAGCGAACGGCUCAUACCCGUUAUGUCAUUGGUUCAAUUCCAAUCACCGCCACCA